Molecule: ribosomal RNA, 587 nt
Filed under: uncultured bacterium
Lineage: Bacteria
Description: partial 16S ribosomal RNA
Rfam family: Bacterial small subunit ribosomal RNA
Source: RNAcentral
UGGGGAAUUUUGGACAAUGGGCGAAAGCCUGAUCCAGCAAUGCCGCGUGUGUGAAGAAGGCCUUCGGGUUGUAAAGCACUUUUGUCCGGAAAGAAAUCCUUGGCUCUAAUACAGUCGGGGGAUGACGGUACCGGAAGAAUAAGCACCGGCUAACUACGUGCCAGCAGCCGCGGUAAUACGUAGGGUGCAAGCGUUAAUCGGAAUUACUGGGCGUAAAGCGUGCGCAGGCGGUUUGCUAAGACCGAUGUGAAAUCCCCGGGCUCAACCUGGGAACUGCAUUGGUGACUGGCAGGCUAGAGUAUGGCAGAGGGGGGUAGAAUUCCACGUGUAGCAGUGAAAUGCGUAGAGAUGUGGAGGAAUACCGAUGGCGAAGGCAGCCCCCUGGGCCAAUACUGACGCUCAUGCACGAAAGCGUGGGGGAGCAAACAGGAUUAGAUACCCUGGUAGUCCACGCCCUAAACGAUGUCAACUAGUUGUGGGGAUUCAUUUCCUUAGUAACGUAGCUAACGCGUGAAGUUGACCGCCUGGGGAGUACGGUCGCAAGAUUCAAAACUCAAAUGGAAUUGACGGGGUCAUAGCUGUUUCCU